GGGGGGUAGGAGUGUGUUCAUGACGCCACAUCAUGAAGCUCCCAGCAGCCUGGGAACUGUUACACACUGUUACCGACAGGCAGGCUGUGCAGAAGAGAUGUCUCAGCCACAACGGUGCAACAAUUCCCACAGCCGUUAUCAUCCUGCUCUACGAACCAGUAGAGGGAGUCCGAGACUUGAAUCUCGUUCCUUUCUUUUGAUACGGUAGAUAAGGAAGAUUAAAGACGUCUUGUCCUGACAACUCAGAAAAAAGGCAAGAGAACAAUCUGACAAGACUUAACAAAACCCAUCGCUGGAAAAGGAGAACUUCAAACAGAAUCAAAACCUGCAGACGAUGAAGGAGAGAUGCAAACACACCACCUCAGGCUCUGACUCUCUGCCUGCAUGCCUGCCUGUCUCUCUGUCUCCAUACCUGACUGUAUGUCAAUCUGUCUACCUUUCACGCUACAUGUUUUGCAAAGUGGCAUCUAUCCUGCAUCGCUGCUGGAGCAACU
Dicentrarchus labrax (European seabass) is the source of this 494-nucleotide long non-coding RNA. RefSeq lists it as uncharacterized. The transcript is spliced from 3 exons. The record is from RefSeq and is a predicted model, not a curated record. Lineage: Eukaryota; Metazoa; Chordata; Actinopteri; Moronidae.